Molecule: ribosomal RNA, 237 nt
Filed under: uncultured bacterium
Lineage: Bacteria
Description: partial 16S ribosomal RNA
Rfam family: Bacterial small subunit ribosomal RNA
Source: RNAcentral
GAUCAUGGCUCAGGAUGAACGCUAGCGGCAAGCCUAACACAUGCAAGUCGAGGGGCAUCGGGAUUGAAGCUUGCUUCAAUUGCCGGCGACCGGCGCACGGGUGCGUAACGCGUAUGUAACCUACCUAUAACAGGGGCAUAACACUGAGAAAUUGGUACUAAUUCCCCAUAAUAUUCGGAGAGGCAUCUCUCCGGGUUGAAAACUCUGGUGGUUAUAGAUGGACAUGCGUUGUAUUAG